GGUGAACGCUGGCGGCGUGCCUAAUACAUGCAAGUCGAGCGAACAGACGAGGAGCUUGCUCCUCUGACGUUAGCGGCGGACGGGUGAGUAACACGUGGAUAACCUACCUAUAAGACUGGGAUAACUUCGGGAAACCGGAGCUAAUACCGGAUCAUAUAUUGAACCGCAUGGUUCAAUAGUGAAAGACGGUUUUGCUGUCACUUAUAGAUGGAUCCGCGCCGCAUUAGCUAGUUGGUAAGGUAACGGCUUACCAAGGCAACGAUGCGUAGCCGACCUGAGAGGGUGAUCGGCCACACUGGAACUGAGACACGGUCCAGACUCCUACGGGAGGCAGCAGUAGGGAAUCUUCCGCAAUGGGCGAAAGCCUGACGGAGCAACGCCGCGUGAGUGAUGAAGGUCUUCGGAUCGUAAAACUCUGUUAUUAGGGAAGAACAAAUGUGUAAGUAACUAUGCACGUCUUGACGGUACCCAAUCAGAAAGCCACGGCUAACUACGUG
RNAcentral lists this ribosomal RNA (497 nucleotides) under uncultured bacterium. Its description in RNAcentral is "partial 16S ribosomal RNA". It matches the Rfam family "Bacterial small subunit ribosomal RNA", at positions 28 to 507 of the family's 1533-position model. The record is from RNAcentral.